CUCCUUUUGCUUGAUCUUGAUUUAUUUCACAGUUGUUGUUGAGUGAUAUAUGCCUUCAAUGGUGGCACAUGUCCAAUAUUAUUAUUGAAAAGCUUUUUGCCGACAAUACUAGGAUUCUUAGUACGAUGAGUAUCUGCAUCUCUUUGUACUGUAACAAUACUUCCAGGCUGAGUCUACAAACAAUAAUUUUUUUAUUUUUUUUAGGUACAGGUCAUGGUAUAUAUCUCAAGAUUACUUGGAACUUGGUGCAAUAGUGUCACUACGUGCUCUAAGACAUUGUCUUGUUCAUGUUCACCAGUCUCAUCGCCGUCUUGUAUGGCUGGUGCAGCUUGUGUAUUGUCAUUGUUUCAUGGUGUACUCUAAACAACAAAUAUCAAAGUAAAAGAUUAGUCAUCAUAAUCAUAAGUUUAGCAAGAGGAUGAAUGAUUAAAAAAUUAGAAAUAUUACUUCAUUCAGAGUUCCUUCUUUGUGUUGUGCCAUCAUUUUAAGAAAGUCUUGCUUUAUUUCUUCUCUUAUUUGUUUUUUCUUCUUCCAGCUCCUCUUGCAUCUUCCUCAUUUCUUCUCUCUCCCUCUCCCUCUCUGUAGCGUCGUGUGCAAUCUGUUCUUUGAGGUUCUCAACCUAUACUUUAAAAGCAAUGCUCUUCUCUCUGGCUGCAGCUUCAACACGUGCAUGAACUUCAAGGUUCUCUUUCAUAAGUUCUUUACGAGUUCAAUACUUAGACAAAUAUCCAUGACCAUGUAAUUUGGAUGAUUUGACUGUUGUGACUUCUUUGUAUCAUGACUAGCAAAUCAUGUUCUCCUCAACACAUUAUAGUGGCUGUGUAUC
This 826-nucleotide long non-coding RNA is filed under the name Sorghum bicolor (sorghum). RNAcentral describes it as "long non-coding RNA (SBIC_LNC002422)". The record is from RNAcentral. Lineage: Eukaryota; Viridiplantae; Streptophyta; Magnoliopsida; Poales; Poaceae.